This 469-nucleotide ribosomal RNA is filed under the name uncultured bacterium. RNAcentral's name for it is "partial 16S ribosomal RNA". It matches the Rfam family "Bacterial small subunit ribosomal RNA", at positions 28 to 507 of the family's 1533-position model. The record is from RNAcentral.
GACGAACGCUGGCGGCGUGCUUAACACAUGCAAGUCGAACGGAAAGGCCCUGCUUGCAGGGUGCUCGAGUGGCGAACGGGUGAGUAACACGUGGGUGAUCUGCCCCUUACUUUGGGAUAAGCCUGGGAAACUGGGUCUAAUACUGGAUAGGACCAUGCUGUAGGUGGUGUGGUGGAAAGAUUAGUUUCGGUAAGAGAUGAGCUCGCGGCCUAUCAGCUUGUUGGUGGGGUAAUGGCCUACCAAGGCGUCGACGGGUAGCCGGCCUGAGAGGGUGGACGGCCACAUUGGGACUGAGAUACGGCCCAGACUCCUACGGGAGGCAGCAGUGGGGAAUAUUGCACAAUGGGCGCAAGCCUGAUGCAGCGACGCCGCGUGGGGGAUGACGGCCUUCGGGUUGUAAACUCCUUUCAGCCAUGACGAAGCCCUUGUGGUGACGGUAGUGGUAGAAGAAGCACCGGCUAACUACGUG